Trachemys scripta elegans is the source of this 1022-nucleotide long non-coding RNA. RefSeq lists it as uncharacterized. NCBI's taxonomy places the organism in Eukaryota, Metazoa, Chordata, Testudines, Emydidae. The record is from RefSeq and is a predicted model, not a curated record. The transcript is spliced from 2 exons.
AAAACCUUAAAUUAGAGUGAAUAAAUGAAGACUUGGCACACCACUUCUGAAAGGUUGCCGACCCCUGCUCUAUAGCCACUACUAUAUCUUCUAGUCUACAAUCCAGUACAUAGUUCAGGUACUACCAUUGUGCAGAGGGAAAUGGCCAAUAAAUUUGGCAGCCCUGAUUUCAGGUGAGUGCUUACUGUGUAUUGUUAUAUUGUGUAGAUGUUUAAUGUGUUAUAUUUAAAUAUUUUUAUUCUGGUUUUGUCUUCAACUCUCUUGGCCACAGAUCUUUCCUUCCAGAGCAAAGUGUAGAACACACUUCAGGUUAGCUUUUCCACAACAAGGGAAAAAGAUAGACGGGAUAAAUAAAGAGGUGGCUCACUAGAUCAUCUUACUAACGGAACUUCAUACAUGAUCAUCUUGGCGCUGAGAUAUGGUGAUAGAUGUGCGACUACAAAUCCUGACAUUCACUGAAGUCAACAGGAAAGCUCCCGGCCAGAAUUUUUUCCUGACUCUGUGCUUUAUGCCUGCAGCUAAGAUCUGGAAUGUUCAGGCAGAUGCUCUCUAGGUUUGUUGGACUGGUGAAAAGGGUGUUCUGAAGAGACUUUGCUCCCUUCUUCCUUCCUGAUUAGAGCAACAGAGUUAAAAAAUGAUUAUCUUUAUUGCAUGUUGCAAGGCAUAUCUAUUUUCUGAAGAUGUAGUUUGAAUAGUGGAUGAGAUUUUUUUUUCCCCCUAUGGAAGAUAGAGGUGGAGGAGAGAUUCCUUAUUGUUAAUUGAUGUUAGUUCAGUGUACAGUAUGUGAUUUUAUAGUUUUUGUACCUGGGCCUAGAAACCAAUAUAUAGUACUCACACUUUAUAAACCAAAAUAUGCUGUCUCUUGUAUGGCUAAAAAUAAAUAACAAAAAAUUAUCAAGAGCCUUUCCAGCCAAAGAGGACCUUUUCCCCUCAAAGCAGAAUGUGAAUUGUAAACCAUUUCAAAAUCAAAGGUUGUAACUGUUAUCCUGGCUUGAUUCUUGAAUAAAGUGUUAAAACUCCAA